CUGAAGGAUGCAAAAGGGAUGAAGAGAGAAGCCAGGCACCAAGGCCACAUCUUGUGACUCCAUUUACAGGAAAUAUACCGUUUAGGUAAAUGCAUAUCGGUGGCUGCCAGGGGCUGGGGGAGACGGAACUGGGAGUGACUACCUCAUGGGUACAGAGUCUCCUUUGAGGGUGAUAAAAAUGUUUCGGAGCUAGAUAGAAGUAAUGGUUGCACGACAUUGGGAAGGUACUGACACUGAAUGAUAUGCUUUAAAAUGGUUAAUUUUAUGGUAUGCGAACUUCACCUCAAAAAAAACAGAAAGAGGGAAGGAAAAAAGAGGGGGUGGAGUAGGAUGAGGAAGGAAGCCCUGGAGCUCAGGAGCAAGAGCUACAGAGAUGUUCUGGAACAGAACACAGCUAAUACUAAAUUAACCCCUUGCUUUCCAACCCAAUGCCUCAGGCCGAAUGCCUAGAGCAGUUUCCCUAGGCACUGUGGCUGAGGAAUUGUGCCCUGGGCCAGCUGGUGGGCCCCCUAAAGCUAAGAAUGUUCUGCCUCUUCAAAGCAUCUGCUCAAUCCUGGACUCUUUUCUCUGACAAUGUUUUCAGAGGGAGGUGCCCUCCCUAUUUCAGGAGCAGAAAAUGAACUCAAGUGUCGUGAAUUACAGUGGGGGAAAAAAUUUAUUUUUUUUAAAUUUAGGCUUCUCAGCCUUCUUACUCAAAAAUACUAAAAAUAUACAUUGCCUUUUCUAAAUUAAACUUAAUUCCUACUUUGAGCCCCCAUCCUGCUUCAUAGCAAAAACUUAAUUAUCUCAUUCAGUUCAGUGUCUGGCAUUUCUCUUCUCCAGGAUACCCCUUGAGUUCCAGGUGCCUCACAUCCUGUGAAGAUGUUUGCUCCUUGCUGUCUUCAUGUAUUCAUGCCAGCUGCCACGAUGGCCUGGACAUCUAGACUACGUUUGCUUUAACUCUGCAGCAAAUCUUUUCCAGGUCUGCAGAGUCUAUAUGUCAUGACUCUGCUCCCCCUGGAAGUCUGGGGACACCUGGAGGCUGCUAUGCCAUACUGGCACUACAAGAAAUGAGGUGGAGGCCAGGCACGGUGCCUCACACCUGUAAUCCCAGCACUUUGGGAGGCCGAGGUGGGUGGAUCACCUGAGGUCAGGAGCUGGAGACCAGCCUGGCCAACAUGGUGAAACCCUGUCUCUAUCAAAAAUACAAAAAUGAGCUGGGCGUGGUGGUGGGCACCUGUAUUCUAGCUACUCAGGAGGCUGAAGCAGGAGAAUCACUUGAACCUGGGAGGCAGAGGUUGCAGUGAGCCAAGAUCACGCCCUUGCACUCCAGCCUGGGCAACAAGAGCAAAACUCCAUCUCAAAAAAAAAAAAAGAAAAGAAAGAAAUGAGGUAGAGCUGAGGUUGUUCACCCACUUGUUUGCUACUCUUAGACGCACAGAAAAAUCAUUCUACUGCUCCCACGUUACCCAGGGUAUUGGGAACCCUUCAAGGCUGACUCAGACCCGGGAUGGAGCAGCUAUUUCACCCCUACUUCUUUUGUGCCAUCUUGUGGCACAGGAAGAGAUUCGUGUAUGUGCCCCUUUCCCAGGUUCCACCUGCAAAGCAGGCACAGUUCUCCUCCUCUCUCCAAUUUUCCAAACCUGUAUGAGUCUCUGAAGUGGAAUUCAAAUAUACACAGGGGUUUAUAUAAAAAUGAAUAUCUGAAUAAUUCCAGGCAAUGAACAAACCUUGAAAACAUGCUAAGUGAAGGAAACCAAACACAAAAAGCCACAUAUCCAUUUAUAUGAUAUGUCCACAGUAGGCAAAUCCAUUGAGACACAAAGCACACUGGUGGUUGCCAGGGACUAGGAGGAAGUAGAAAUGGGGGUGACUAAUGGGUCUGGCAUUUAUUUUUGGGGAUGAUGAAACUGUUCUGGAACUAGUAGUGAUAGUUGUACAUCAUGAAUGUCCUGGAAGUUACUGAGUUACACACUUUAUACUUGUAAAAAUGGUGAAUUACUAUGUGAAUUUUACCUCCUUAAAAAAAAUCCAGGCCAGGCACAGAGGCUCAACACCUGUAAUCUCAACACUUUAGGAGGCCAAGGCAGGUGGAUUGCUUGAGCCCAGGAGUUGGAAACCAGCCUGGGCAAUAUGGCAAAACCUCAUCUCCACAAAAAAAUACAAAAAUUAGCCAGGCAUGGUGGUGCAUGCCUGUGGUCCCAGCUACUGGGGAGGCUGAGGUGGGAGGAUCACCUAAGCCUGGGGAGGUCGAGGUUGCAGUGAGCUGUGAUCUCACCACUAUACUCUAGCCUGGGCAACAGAGUGAGACCCUGUCUGAAAAAAAAAAAAUCAAGAUAUAUUUGGGUUUGGUCAGAGGUCUCAGGGAGGGAGGGAGUCUACAUUGAAGUAGGGUUUGGGGGUACGCUAGCUUUUGUCUUUGGAUAUGCAGUUCAGGACAGUUUGUCUUUGGAUAUGCAGUUCAGGACAGUUUGUCUUUGGAUAUGCAGUUUUAGGACAGUUUUUGUUAUCUCCUAGCUUUUGUCUUUGGAUAUGCAGUUCAGGACAGUUUGUUUAACUCCAUCAUCUCAUCACUCUAAAAAUUUUUGGUGUAUCUAGUUCAGACGCUCCAGCCCUUGAUAAGUCUUAACUGGAACAGAAGAAAAUUCUGAGAUUUAGAAUUUUGCUUAUUUCCAAACAACUGUGAAUGUCUAGAGUUGGAGGCAAAGACUUCUAGUCCCAAUAGAAGGCACCAAUCUACUGUCUGGAAAAAUCCUUUAGCCCUGUGUCCCUCUCCUUCUAGCCCCACUGUGAAAGAACAUAUCAUUCUCUAGUCAUAAUAGUGACCAUCGUGGGUUAAAAACCCUUACUAUUUGCCAAGUCUGGUGCUAAGCAUUUCAUUUAAUCCUCAUCAAAAAAAAAAAAAGAAAAAAGAAAGAAAGAAAAGAAAAGAAAAAGAAAAUGGCAAAUGGCAAUACAAGGUCUCAAUCAGUUAAGCAUCAUUCUUAAGAUCACACAGCUGAUAAGUGGCAGGACUGGGAUUCAAAACCAAAAUUGCCUCCAAAGCCCCAUCCUUAACCAUUAUAUCAUUCUACCUCUUUCCGAUUAACCCUGGUGAGUUUUGCUUAGGGCUCUUAUCAUUGGUUCCUCUCACAUUCAGUGGUGUUGAGAUUCUAGGGUGAAAAUUGAGCAAGAGGUUCAGGAUCUGGUAAUAUCAGAAUAGCUUAUCAAACUAGCCCUCCCACAUGUAACAAUUAUCUAAUCUGGACAAAAUAGUUUAACAAAACAAUUGCGUUAAAGCACUCUGCAGCAACCAAAAGAAGGCAGAAAGGGAGGGGAUCCAACCCUUGAAUGAAAGACAGCACAUUGAGUGAGAGCUGCGUUCACUGGCUCUUCCCCUGAAGGUGUGUCCCCAUCUAUACACUGCAUGGGGAAUGGAGUGGCUGGAAAUUUAGGGAGAAAAAUCUUAAUCCUAAGUGACGGAACCAUGGAAGGGGUGCCCUAAAAUCUGUGUACCAAUUAUCUUCAAAUCCUUGGCUGACUGCUAAACAGUUCAUAUGCAGGGUGAGAUUGUAAGUUUCCCAGAGGCAAGAAACUGCAUCAAGACGAAAGAGUCAAGCCCUGCCAAGGUAGAGAAGCUUUGUAGACACAGCGCCCUUUUUGUUGAAACACUUGCAGGGCCACACCUUAGGAAUAAGGACCACAUCUUAGAAUUUAGGUCUAUACCCUAGGAAUAAGGACAAAACUGAAAGAGAUCCACUCCAAUAAAGGCUAAAACUAAGCUUCCACAGGACUAAGAUUGUCUGUCAACGAUUUAGCCAUCUGCUAGGGCAAAACUCAAUGCCUUUCAAAGAAAGAUAGUAAACUCCAGAGACUCUAGAGUGUGUUACAUAGAAUAAACAUAUAGUAUAAGCCAGACACAAUGGCACAUGUCUGUAAUCCCAGCUACUGGGGAACCUAAGGCAGGAGGAUUGUUUGAGCCCAGGAGUUCAAGACCAGCCUGGACAAUAUAGUGAGCCCUUGGCUCAAUUUCUUUUUAAUUACUUGGCAUAUGAUAUGGUUUCAAUAUUUGUCCCAUCCAAAUCACAUGUUGAAAUGUAAUCCCCAGUGUUGGAGUUGGGGCCUGGUGGGAGGUGUUUGAGUCAUGGGGGUGGAUCCCUCAUGGCUUCGUGCUGUCCUCACAAUAGUGAGUAAGUUUUUGAGAGAUCUUGUUAAGAAUGUGUGGCACCUCCCCCGCACUCUCUCUUGCUCCCACUCUUGCAGUAUGAGACACCUGUUCCCCCUUCACUUUCUGCCACAAUUGUUAAGAUUCCUGAGCCCCACCCUACCAGAAGCCAAGCAGAUGCUGGCACCAUGAUUGUACAGCCUGCAGAACCAUGAGCCAAUUAAAUCUCUUUUCUUUAUAAAUUACCCAGUCUCAGAUAUUUCUUUAUAGAAAUGCAAGAAUGGCAUAAUAUAGCAUACAAACAGCCAGAAAAAUAUGACAGUCAAGAGAAUAGUCAACAGAAGCAGACCCAAAGAUGAGUCAGAUAUUGGAGAUAGCAAAGACCUUGAAAAAAAUUAGAAAAAACUUUAAAAAUGCAACAUACAAACAGCCAGGAAAAUAUGACAAUACAAUCAUGUGUCACAUAACAACAGAGGAACGUUAUGAGAAAUGAAUCAUUAAGCAAUUUUAUGUAUGAAUAUCAUCGAGCAUACUUACACAAACCUAUAUGGUAUAGCCUACUACAUACCUAGGCUAUAUGGUAUAACUUAUCACUCUUAGAUUACAAACCUAUACAGCAUGUUGCUGUACUGAAUGUUGUAGGGAAUUAUAACACAAUGACAAUUAUUUAUGUAGCUAGAAAUAUCUAAACUUAGAAAAGUUACAGUAAAAAUAUGAUAUACAAGAUUAAAAAAAUGAUACACCUAUAUAGGGAACUUACCGUGAAUGGAGCUUGCAGGACUGGAAGUUGCUCUAGGUGAGUCAGUGAGUGGUGAGUGAAUGUGAAGGCCUAGGACAUUACUGUACACUACUGUAGACUUUAUCAACAUUAUACUCUUAGGCUGUACUAAAUUUAUUUUUUAAAUAUUUUUUCUUCAAUAAUAAAUUA
Molecule: long non-coding RNA, 5051 nt
Filed under: Homo sapiens (human)
Lineage: Eukaryota; Metazoa; Chordata; Mammalia; Primates; Hominidae
Description: HSALNT0097440
Source: RNAcentral